GUAGCACAACUCUGGCUGGAGAGGCCGCGGGCAGAGACUGGAGGCCAAGAUCCACCCAGACUGGACUUUCCAGAGUGAGAGGUACAUUUUAACUUGUCUCCUACUGCCACCACCCCUCUCUCGUCCAAUUACAACAGUUUCCCAAAUCUUCUCAAUGAUAAGAAUCACCUGGGAUGAUGAUUCCUCCAGAUGAAUCUCCAAAGGAGUUUGUUUUGGCAGAAAGCAAAAUGAUUGAAAAACACAGAAUUGCGUUGGAGACAUUUCAACUGCCAAGCUUGCUGCAUAAACAAGACCUUACAAAACAGGAAAACCCUGCUCUUUGCGGUGCCCAACAGGUAUUUGCUGGCCGGAGAGAUAGCAGUAGCUGGAACGUGUUAUCUCCUAGCCCUCUUGGGAAACAGCAAAUUCCUUUGCUCUUUCAUUUUUCCCAAAAAGGAGGCCAGACAGGGAAAUUCCAGCAACGCUGCCCAACAGCCACACCUCAUGAGCCUGGAGAAAGGAAAGGAGAGGGCAGGAGACUUCUUUACUUGCUACUUCAGAGCAGUGAGAAGACUCUGGAAGUCACGAGUCGUUCUGAGCCUCUGCUCCGCUAGACAAAACACACAAUAACAACACCUCCGGCUGUCCCCUCAAUUCAUCAGCUCUUCUCAGUAAGUUCCUGCAGGUGACCACCCGAGAGCUUCUCCCUCCUGACUCUGCCUCUAGACCACAGAGGCCACAGGCAACGUGAGGUGAAACAGAGGGAGAGACCAGAACCGUUGAGGUUGGGGGAGGAGCACGCGGCACAGCACACUUCAGUUCCUACGGACUUGCUCCUAAGCCUCUCUCUUCCUUCCGUGCAGUCCAAUGCUAGAGACGGCUCUGGCUUCUGGGCUCUCAGAGGGCUUUGUUUCGCCAGCCUGCUUCAAGAAGGGUUAUCAAUUCACUGCAAAGCUGAGGCUUUGGAGUUCUUACCCUGAAGGGAAAGUCAACCCCAGAGGAGCCUGAACCACUUAAGCUGUGAAUCACACCCGCUUAAGUUGUGACAGGAGUGGCCUUCCGCCCACGUCGUCAUUCUGCCUACAGAACGAGGUCAUCAUAGCCCACGGGAGUCCCGGUAUUAAACAGCCACUGCAGAAAGCCAAAGGUUCUGGAAAGUCAGCUCUGACAGUGAAACGUGGAACUUCCCGUGGGACUAGCAUCAGGAGAGGCCACUGCCAGAGGCCGAGCAAGCUUUCCUCCACAGAAAACAAGGAGACAGGCUCAACGCAGCAGGCGUCUGGCUGGCUGCUUUAGUCUGGUGCACUGUAGGCUAGGGGUUGGAAACCCAAACUCCUCAGGGGCCAGACAAUAAAAAUAAAGAUAAAAACAAUAAGUGGGUGAGUGGCACAUGGGCAGAGAAGGCACAAGCCCAUCUAUAAAGGGCUGAUGGCAGCCCUGUGGAUGGAGGCCUAGUGCUGACCAGUCUUCCUUCUGGUUUUUGAGAAACUCCAGAAAUCUGUUUCUUAUGGGAAAUCUUCCAACUCUUUUUUUUUUUUUUGGCCGCGCCACACAGCUCGCUGGAUCUUAGUUCGCUGACCAGGGAUUGAACCCCGGGCCCCCGGCAGUGAAAGCAGCGAGCCCUAACCACUGAACCGCCAGGGAAUUCCCAGAAAUCUUCUGACUUUUAACGACAGCAACUAAUUGAAGUGUUUAAACAUUUUCUGUAGAGGUAAACAAAUCCCAUUUGGGGGCUGAAUUUGGACCAUACAGAAACGGGCCCUCUGGACAACAAAAGAGUGACCAGCCAGCCACGACCUUCAUGCCAGUCCAGUCUGGGGUCGGGGGAACUCUCAAAUCCCGGGGGCUAAAGGAAAGAGUCAGGGUCAGCAGUGGGUACAAAAGCUGCAGGGACAGCUCAAGUGUCUGCCCUACGUGCCCUCCCUAAGCCCAGGUGACAUUACCACUUAGACGACCCUCACCCACUGCAGCUGCCCCCAGCAUAGGCUGCAAAGACACUGAAGGGGAAAACGGUCCAGCAGGCUCACUCCUGGAGAUAAAAGGCCUGGGGAUUUAAAACAUGCCCUGGAAUGAAGAAUCCUGAUACAUUUACUUCUUUCAGAAGGCAAGUUCAUUUAAGGAAGUAGACAGCAGUGCAGCAAGCAGUCAGCCUCUGAAGGAAGGCAGGAAAAGAAGAGAGGGAGGGAGGAGGGAGGAAAUCCACUUCUAGUCUCAGUUAAAUCCAUUGUUUCAAAUGUAAUUAAGGAAUAAAGGGAUUCAAAUCCAAAGGGCAGGAGUUGAAAGGGUAUUGUGUACAAUUUCUAUUGCACUGAACUUUACUGCGGGUAAAACAUGAUGUAUUUCUUGAAGGCUGAGUCAGGCCAUAGUCAGUUUUGUUUGUUAAUUACCCAAUAAGGAACAUAUUUUGCUAUAAAAAAUCUGAACUCAGAGGUAAAGAGUAAAACAAGACUCUCCAUUCACACCACGUGCCCAGAGGUAACUACUAUACAGUUCAACAUGCAGAUUGCCAGCUCUUUUACUAUGCCAUUAUAAAGUUUAUCUGUCUUUAAAAAAAGUAAUAAAUAGGGUCUUCCCUGGUGGCACAGUGCAGGGGACACAGGUUCGGGCCCU
Delphinapterus leucas (beluga whale) is the source of this 2589-nucleotide non-coding RNA. NCBI's taxonomy places the organism in Eukaryota, Metazoa, Chordata, Mammalia, Artiodactyla, Monodontidae. The record is from RefSeq and is a predicted model, not a curated record.